This 690-nucleotide ribosomal RNA is filed under the name uncultured rumen bacterium. RNAcentral's name for it is "bacterial SSU rRNA". It matches the Rfam family "Bacterial small subunit ribosomal RNA", at positions 73 to 777 of the family's 1533-position model. The record is from RNAcentral.
GAAACCUAGUGAUUCUAAACUUAGUGGCGGACGGGUGAGUAACGCGUGGGUAACCUGCCCUAUAGAGUGGGAUAGCAGUUAGAAAUGACUGAUAAUACCACAUAAGACCACAGUACGGCAUCGUACAGGGGUCAAAGAUUUAUCGCUAUAGGAUGGACCCGCGUCUGAUUAGCUAGUUGGUGAGGUAACGGCCCACCAAGGCGACGAUCAGUAGCCGGCUUGAGAGAGUGACCGGCCACAUUGGGACUGAGACACGGCCCAAACUCCUACGGGAGGCAGCAGUGGGGGAUAUUGCACAAUGGAGGAAACUCUGAUGCAGCGACGCCGCGUGAGUGAAGAAGUAUUUCGGUAUGUAAAGCUCUAUCAGCUGGGAAUAAAAAAAUGAAGGUACCAGAGUAAGAAGCACCGGCUAAAUACGUGCCAGCAGCCGCGGCAAUACGUAUGGUGCAAGCGUUAUCCGGAUUUACUGGGUGUAAAGGGAGCGCAGGUGGCGCGGCAAGUCAGAAGUGAAAGCCCGGGGCUUAACCCCGGUAUUGCUUUUGAAACUACUGUGCUAGAGUGCAGGAGGGGUAAGCGGAAUUCCUAGUGUAGCGGUGAAAUGCGUAGAUAUUAGGAAGAACACCGGUGGCGAAGGCGGCUUACUGGACUGUAACUGACACUGAGGCUCGAAAGCGUGGGUAGCAAACAGGA